CGGCGGACGGGUGAGUAACGCGUGGGUAACUACCCUGUACACACGGAUAACAUACCGAAAGGUAUGCUAAUACGGGAUAAUAUAUUUGAGAGGCAUCUCUCGAAUAUCAAAGGUGAGCCAGUACAGGAUGGACCCGCGUCUGAUUAGCUAGUUGGUAAGGUAACGGCUUACCAAGGCGACGAUCAGUAGCCGACCUGAGAGGGUGAUCGGCCACAUUGGAACUGAGACACGGUCCAA
Molecule: ribosomal RNA, 237 nt
Filed under: uncultured bacterium
Lineage: Bacteria
Description: partial 16S ribosomal RNA
Rfam family: Bacterial small subunit ribosomal RNA
Source: RNAcentral